AGCGCAGACGGUUUAUUAAAUCUGAUGUGAAAGCCCGGAGCUCAACUCCGGAAUGGCAUUGGAAACUGGUUAACUUGAGUGCAGUAGAGGUAAGUGGAACUCCAUGUGUAGCGGUGGAAUGCGUAGAUAUAUGGAAGAACACCAGUGGCGAAGGCGGCUUACUGGACUGCAACUGACGUUGAGGCUCGAAAGUGUGGUAGCAAACA
Molecule: ribosomal RNA, 206 nt
Filed under: uncultured bacterium
Lineage: Bacteria
Description: partial 16S ribosomal RNA
Rfam family: Bacterial small subunit ribosomal RNA
Source: RNAcentral